Eutrema salsugineum is the source of this 881-nucleotide long non-coding RNA. RefSeq lists it as uncharacterized. The transcript is spliced from 4 exons. The record is from RefSeq and is a predicted model, not a curated record. Lineage: Eukaryota; Viridiplantae; Streptophyta; Magnoliopsida; Brassicales; Brassicaceae.
AGAUUACAGAACCAUUCAAUCAAUGGCUGUGAUCAAGAUUUAAAAGAAAAAAACUUAGACAUCUCUAAUCAUUUUCUGUUACAAAAACUCGUAAAACUCUGUUUCUGGUACUGUUUCUGAAACCCAGAAGGAUCAGAUUGAGAUUAAUAGAAGAAGAAGAAUCGUGAGUGACAGUGUCGAGAGAGAAGCGAAGUUUCCUCGUGCAGAGUUUGGCAGAAAAGGGUAUGAAUCUGGUGGAGGCACAAGACGGGCAAGGAGUUAUGGUGUCGUUGUAGAAAGAAGAGAAGGAGACGCAACAGCUUGGAUGCUUUCUGGCUAGAAACUGUGAGUAUGUGCAGUCGUGAGAAAAACGGUAGAUGGCACGAUUUUGGCAGGACCACAAGUGUAACCAGGUCCGGGACCAAGUAAUGUGAAGUUCUUAGGAAGCUUGACAGUCUUGUUUGUAGUUCCAGCCAGACCAACACUAACCUGAAACUGUGAUACAGCGGAUGAUGGAUCCUGACCCCAAGCUCCAACUACACCGCCUUUGCAACAGUUUGAGAACUGUUGAUUGUAAGGGACACCUGGCAAGAGGUCAACGACUGUUGGGGUUUUCUUACAGCAAUGAGCCUAAUGUCCAACCCGGGUUUUGUAUGUGGCGGUACAUUUGGAAGUUGUUCAUUGUUACCGUUGCCUGCAAAUGCAUAUAGUGUACAGAAUGAUGAGAGUUUGUGCGAGUAAUCAAAUGCGCAUACACGCACGCACAAGAGUGCAGAGGAUUCUUACCACAUAGCCAUCUGCUGUCCAGGACAUGAUAUCCCAUUUGAUUGUAAUGUUCCCACUGGGAUCCAAUGGAUCAUAUGCAGCUGUAAAACAAAAACAAAAAAUCAUAGAAUAAGAAA